This 494-nucleotide ribosomal RNA is filed under the name uncultured bacterium. Its description in RNAcentral is "partial 16S ribosomal RNA". It matches the Rfam family "Bacterial small subunit ribosomal RNA", at positions 28 to 507 of the family's 1533-position model. The record is from RNAcentral.
GACGAACGCUGGCGGCGUGCUUAACACAUGCAAGUCGAACGGUCAAGCGCCUUCCUUUUUCGUGGGUGUUGAUGAGUGGCGAACUGGUGAGUAACACGUGAGUAUCCUUCCCCCUUCUUCUUGAUAACCGCAUGAAAGUGUUGCUAAUACGUGAUAUUCUGGAUCUGUCGCUUGUUGGGUCUGGGAUAGUUUUUGUUUCGUUGGUGGAUGGGCUCGCGUCGUAUCAGCUUGUUGGUGGGGUGAUGGACUACCAAGGCGAUGAGGGGUAGCCGGCCUGAGAGGGUGGACGGUAACAGAGGGAGUGAGAGACGGAGAAGACUACGAGAGGAGGCAGCAGUGGAGAAUAUGGAACGAUGGGAACAAGGAUGAAGCAGCGACGCCGGGUGAAGGAAGGGUGCCUGCGGGUUGUGAACCGCUUUCAGGAGAGAAGAAAGGCUGAAUUAAUUGUGGAUAGGUUGACGGUAGCUAGAUAAGAAGCGACGGCUAACUACGUG